CGGCAUCCUCCGUCUGCUCACUGCAGUCCGCCCAGCGGCUUCGUCUGAUGACGCGUUUUAGGUGCCUUGGGCGGAAAGCGCCUGCAGUGGAGGAAGGCAAAGUUCGCUCCCAGUACCCGCCCCCUGCGCUGGGUCCUCCCGAAGUAGGAAACGGUGAAAGAGAGGGUCCUGUGCUGUUCUGCAGGGAAGCGUCGCUUCCGUUCAGCUGUCCCUACACCAUGGACUCAGUACCUGCAACUGUGCCUUCUGUCACUGCUUCCCCGGGGGACCCGGAGCUCCUGGGACCCCUGUCGGUGCUGUACGCAGCCCUCAUAGCCAAGCUACUGGAGGUGACGGUCCCAUUCCCAGGGAGGGACCCCAGCUCUGGCCGGCGGGUGGCUGAGUUCUGGCGGAGUGGGUGCACUGACUGUCGCGGCGACGGAGAAAUGGAGUGUGUAGGCCCAAGGCAGGCAGGAUGUGACUGUAUUGUUAAGCGAGGCCGUUGAGAGUGUACUUGAGCUUUCCCCACUUGCACUUUUUUUUUUGACGGAAUAGAGGUGACAACCUCAUGUUAUGUUCCGAAAUGCAGCCAGCAAUCGAAACAGCUAACGUUACUACAGGUCUUUUCCCUACGGAGACUGCUGGGGAAUUGGGCCCAAAUGACAGUUAUCUCGUAUUACGUGUAGAGGGCGGUGAAAACAGGGAAGAGUAGGCAGGUGUUUAAUGCACUGCCUUUGAGCAACCAUUUAAAAUUAGGCUUUGAAUUUUAUAGAAGGAUGUUAAAUUCAGAGAAGUUUAUCUAAGACAGUUUUCAAGAGUUGUCUGAAAUUACAUGUCACUUAUCUGUUUAUAUAAGAGUGGAAUGGAAGUAAGAUUUAAAAUCUUAUACGUAUGUCAUCAUCAUCAUUGUUUUUAUUUGUUGCCAUAAAAUUAAUUAGUUCUUUCAUAUAUAUGUUUUUGUCUUAAAUGAAUUUUUUAAAUUAUAAAAACCAGGUUAUCUAAGAGAAAAGAAUGAUCCAGAGGGAUUCUAGCCAGGUGUUAGACAAUGUGAUGAUAUAGGGCCUGUUACAAACUGGAAAUGUAUGCUCAAUUUAAAGUAUUUAGAUUCGGGCUGGGGUUGUGGUUCAGUGGUAGAGCACUUGCUUAGCAUGCAUGAGGCACAGGGUUAGGGUUAGGGUUAGGGUUAGGGGUUCAAUCCUCAGCACCAUAUAAAAACAAAAUAAUGUGUCCACCUAAAACUAAAGAUACAUAAAUAAAUAUUUUUUAAAAAGUAUUUAGAUUCAUUAUACUUGAAAACACUGCAAGUGAACAAAAAAUAUGAGACUGCCAGUAUCCUCUCUCUUGAAGAAGCUAUUGGAAAAUAUUGAGGAGGUGGAUUUCUGAUGAGGAGGUUGGUUUAGAAUUGCCAUGAUUCUUUGUGACUGUUUUGUUAUAAAUUUAAGGUUUCCCAUUUCUUCUAAUUUGUCUGUUUCAGCUGUUUACUACAUUGCCUGAUGAUACUCAACCUGGGCCUGAUUUUUAUGGACUACCAUGGAAGCCUGUAGUUUUCACUGUUUUGUUUGGAUUUGUAUCCUUUGUCGUUUUCUUUUGGAAAACUAUUCUUGUU
Molecule: long non-coding RNA, 1585 nt
Filed under: Marmota monax (woodchuck)
Lineage: Eukaryota; Metazoa; Chordata; Mammalia; Rodentia; Sciuridae
Source: RNAcentral